This is a long non-coding RNA of Eucalyptus grandis, 231 nucleotides long. RefSeq lists it as uncharacterized. The transcript has 3 exons. The record is from RefSeq and is a predicted model, not a curated record. Lineage: Eukaryota; Viridiplantae; Streptophyta; Magnoliopsida; Myrtales; Myrtaceae.
UUCAUUCCUCUUGCCUCUUCUUCCACUGUUUGCCCUCUCUCUCUCCUCUGGACUUCACGGCGACCAGCCAUCAUCGACUGAAGCAGGAUAAGAGGGUACGCAAAUGGAUCAGACUGAAGUAGUUGGCGAGAAGCUGCCCGAUGGCUUAUUGGAGAGUGUACCUGAAAGUAGACCGGAGACUCGAGAUGAAAUGCUUUCUAGGCACAGGAAAGAGGUGUCACAGCUACAAAA